GUUGUCAUUAAAUUCAAAUGGAGAUUUCAUUUGAUUUGCAUACAGAUUAAAAAGAUGAUGGCUGCAAAUGGAAAUUACUUGAUUUCAACAUAAUUUCAAAUUUUGACAGUGAACUUGUUGUUGGUUUCUUUGAAAUAUCAUAAAAAUUCAUCUGCUUGACAGUAAAAGUUCGCAUCUAGUUUUCAUUGUGAAACAUGCAGCUGACAAAUUGCAGAAGAAACAAACGUUACAAAAAUGCAUUGCUGAAGUGGCAAAAAAUUGAAAAGAUUUCAUGAAAAGAAAACUUUUACAGAAGCACAUGUUAGGAGGGGUGGUUAUUUUAUGACAGAGUCAGGAGGGGUGAAUGCUUUAACAAAAGCAAUUUAGAGCAAGGAUGGUUACUUCAUAAGUUGAAGAAGUUAUGAAAUAUGUCCUUUGUAAUCAUUGGUUCCCUGUUGUUUGUCUUUGUUCUCCAGUUCAUGAAUGACAUGAUCAUUAAAUGAUUGGUGUUAACAGUUGCAUCAUAAUUGGUUAUUUCAAAAGUUAGCAAGAUAUUUUUUUGUUGAAUCAUUGCCUGGUUGCACACAUGCACAUAGCCAAAAACUUGGUACUUUUG
Xenia sp. Carnegie-2017 is the source of this 595-nucleotide long non-coding RNA. RefSeq lists it as uncharacterized. The record is from RefSeq and is a predicted model, not a curated record. Lineage: Eukaryota; Metazoa; Cnidaria; Anthozoa; Malacalcyonacea; Xeniidae. The transcript has 3 exons.